UUUCCGUAGGUGAACCUGCGGAAGGAUCAUUAUUGAAACUUGAAUCGUAGCAUCGAGGACUGUUGCUGACCUGUUAAAAGGUAUGUGCACGUUCGACGUGUUGCGUUCUAUUCAUCCACCUGUGCACCUUUGUAGACUUGAUUAACUUUCGCUCUCGAGCGGUUAGAAGGGUUGCUUUCGAGCUCCCUUUGUCUAUCAAGUCUAUGUCUAUAUAAUCUCUUGUAUGUCUAGAAUGUCUUGUUUAUGGGACGCAAGUCCUUUAAAUCUUAUACAACUUUCAACAACGGAUCUCUUGGCUCUC
This 301-nucleotide unclassified non-coding RNA is filed under the name plant metagenome. RNAcentral describes it as "partial contains small subunit ribosomal RNA, internal transcribed spacer 1, and 5.8S ribosomal RNA". The record is from RNAcentral.